RNAcentral lists this ribosomal RNA (430 nucleotides) under Pseudomonadota bacterium. Its description in RNAcentral is "Proteobacteria bacterium partial 16S ribosomal RNA". It matches the Rfam family "Bacterial small subunit ribosomal RNA", at positions 355 to 776 of the family's 1533-position model. Lineage: Bacteria; Pseudomonadati; Pseudomonadota. The record is from RNAcentral.
UGGGGAAUAUUGGACAAUGGGGGGAACCCUGAUCCAGCCAUGCCGCGUGUGUGAAGAAGGCCUUAUGGUUGUAAAGCACUUUAAGCGAGGAGGAGGGUACUGGUGUUAAUACUACCAGGUACUGGACGUUACUCGCAGAAUAAGCACCGGCUAACUCUGUGCCAGCAGCCGCGGUAAUACAGAGGGUGCGAGCGUUAAUCGGAUUUACUGGGCGUAAAGCGUGCGUAGGCGGCUAAUUGAGUCGGAUGUGAAAUCCCCGAGCUUAACUUGGGAAUUGCAUUCGAUACUGGUUAGCUAGAGUGUGGGAGAGGAUGGUAGAAUUCCAGGUGUAGCGGUGAAAUGCGUAGAGAUCUGGAGGAAUACCGAUGGCGAAGGCAGCCAUCUGGCCUAACACUGACGCUGAGGUACGAAAGCAUGGGGAGCAAACAGG